AAAAAAUGAAACAAUAAUAAAAAAAGCUCGCUACUCGCUGCUCCCUUACAAAUGCUAAAUAUAUGUUGGUAUUGUCAAAUGCUCCCGCCCCCAACACCAACUAUUUCCAAAGUCCAAAAUGAAGGUUAAUCGAGCUCUAAUGAGUGUUCUUUUACGUUCACGGUACAGAAGAAGGCUCAGACUACCACCAGGGUCAUAAAAGUACCCCUGGAAAUGCCCUAAACUCCCACGAAAGCCUUGUCAAAUGAGUGUUCUUUUAGGUUCACGGUACAGAAGAAGGCUCAGACUACCACCAGGGCCAUAAAAGUACCCCUGGAAAUGCCCUAAACUCCCACGAAAGCCUUGUCAAAUGAGUGUUCUUUUAGGUUCACGGUACAGAAGAAGGCUCAGACUACCACCAGGGCCAUAAAAGUACCCCUGGAAAUGCCCUAAACUCCCACGAAAGCCUUGUCAAAUGAGUGUUCUUUUAGGUUCAGGGUACAGAAGAAGGCUCACACUACCACCAGGGUCAUAAAAGUACCCCUGGAAAUGCCCUAAACUCCUACGAAAGCCUUGUCAAAUGAGUGUUCUUUUAGGUUCACGGUACAGAAGAAGGCUCAGACUACCACCAGGGUCAUAAAAGUACCCCUGGAAAUGCCCUAAACUCCCACGAAAGCCUUGUCAAAUGAGUGUUCUUUUAGGUUCACGGUACAGAAGAAGGCUCAGACUACCACCAGGGUCAUAAAAGUACCCCUGGAAAUGCCCUAAACUCCCACGAAAGCCUUGUCAAAUGAGUGUUCUUUUAGGUUCACGGUACAGAAGAAGGCUCAGACUACCACCAGGGCCAUAAAAGUACCCCUGGAAAUGCCCUAAACUCCUACGAAAGCCUUGUCAAAUGAGUGUUCUUUUAGGUUCACGGUACAGAAGGCGGCUCAGACUACCACCAGGGCCAUAAAAGUACCCCUGGAAAUGCCCUAAACUCCUACGAAAGCCUUGUCAAAUGAGUGUUCUUUUAGGUUCACGGUACAGAAGAAGGCUCAGACUACCACCAGGCUCAUAAAAGUACCCCUGGAAAUGCCCUAAACUCCCACGAAAGCCUUGUCAAAUGAGUGUUCUUUUAGGUUCACGGUACAGAAGAAGGCUCAGACUACCACCAGGGUCAUAAAAGUACCCCUGGAAAUGCCCUAAACUCCCACGAAAGACUAGUAAAUUACGUGUUCUUGGGCACAGAAAUGUUUAAAAAUAUGACCCAUAAUCUCUUCACAAGGUUGCCAGUGGAGUAAAGCUUGGGCUCCUAAAACUUGCCUAAAUACACCGUUCUAUAUUCUCUGUAAUUUGAUUAUAUCUGUUGCCGUCACUUCUAUGAUCUUAAUUCCAUAUAGAAGAGAAGGUUAUGCUAUACUUUCCCAGGACGUUUUCCCAAUCAAAAUCUUAGAGCGACAUCUUACAAUCACAUUCCUGGUCAUGUUAGGUAAUUUUUUUUGCCUUUUGUAACAUCUUCUCCUUCUGAACCUUAACACAAUUUUUGCUGUCAACUGAAAUUCUCAAAUAUUUAAAUCUAUCUUCUUAUUACUCAAAAAUAUAUUAUCAUUAGUUUUUCGUCCUUUUUGAAGCUCUGAAACUGAGUUCGCUACAGAAAAACCGAAUUGCAUAUAAUUUUAGACUUCAUGUGCCAUUUUUCUUAUUCAUUUCUGCUUCUAA
Long non-coding RNA from Eriocheir sinensis (Chinese mitten crab), 1680 nucleotides. RefSeq lists it as uncharacterized. The record is from RefSeq and is a predicted model, not a curated record. The transcript has 4 exons. NCBI's taxonomy places the organism in Eukaryota, Metazoa, Arthropoda, Malacostraca, Decapoda, Varunidae.